RNAcentral lists this ribosomal RNA (492 nucleotides) under uncultured bacterium. RNAcentral's name for it is "partial 16S ribosomal RNA". It matches the Rfam family "Bacterial small subunit ribosomal RNA", at positions 29 to 507 of the family's 1533-position model. The record is from RNAcentral.
AUUGAACGCUGGCGGCAUGCUUUACACAUGCAAGUCGAACGGUAACAGGCCUUCGGGUGCUGACGAGUGGCGAACGGGUGAGUAAUGCAUCGGAACGUACCCAGAGGUGGGGGAUAACGCAGCGAAAGCUGUGCUAAUACCGCAUGUGAUCUGAGGAUGAAAGCGGGGGACCGAGCAGCAAUGUUUGGCCUCGCGCCUUUGGAGCGGCCGAUGUCGGAUUAGCUAGUUGGUGGGGUAAAGGCCUACCAAGGCGACGAUCCGUAGCUGGUCUGAGAGGACGACCAGCCACACGGGAACUGAGACACGGCCCAGACUCCUACGGGAGGCAGCAGUGGGGAAUGGUGGACAAUGGGCGGAAGCCUGAUCCAGCAAUGCCGCGUGCGGGAAGAAGGCCUUCGGGUUGUAAACCGCGUUUGGCAGGAACGAAACGGUGUCCGCUAAUACCGGGCGCUAAUGACGGUACCUGCAGAAUAAGCACCGGCUAACUACGUG